RNAcentral lists this ribosomal RNA (898 nucleotides) under uncultured archaeon. RNAcentral's name for it is "SSU rRNA". It matches the Rfam family "Archaeal small subunit ribosomal RNA", at positions 455 to 1354 of the family's 1478-position model. The record is from RNAcentral.
GUGCCAGCAGCCGCGGUAAUACCAGCCCCGCGAGUGGUCGGGACUCUUGCUGGGCCUAAAGCGCCCGUAGCCGGCCCGGUAAGUCCCUCCUUAAAGCCCCGGGCUCAACCCGGGGAGCGGGGGGAUACUGCCGGGCUAGGGGGCGGGAGAGGCCGGGGGUACCCCAGGGGUAGGGGCGAAAUCCGAUAAUCCCUGGGGGACCACCAGUGGCGAAGGCGCCCGGCUGGAACGCGCCCGACGGUGAGGGGCGAAAGCCGGGGCAGCAAAAGGGAUUAGAUACCCCUGUAGUCCCGGCUGUAAACGAUGCCGGCUAGGUGUCGCGUGGGCUUAGAGCCCGCCCGGUGCCGCAGGGAAGCCGUUAAGCCCGCCGCCUGGGGAGUACGGCCGCAAGGCUGAAACUUAAAGGAAUUGGCGGGGGGGCACCACAAGGGGUGAAGCUUGCGGCUUAAUUGGAGUCAACGCCGGAAACCUUACCCGGGGCGACAGCAGGAUGAUGGCCAGGCUAACGACCUUGCCGGACGAGCUGAGAGGAGGUGCAUGGCCGUCGUCAGCUCGUGCCGUGAGGUGUCCGGUUAAGUCCGGCAACGAGCGAGACCCCCACCCCUAGUUGCUACCCGAUCCUUCGGGAUCGGGGGCACACUAGGGGGACUGCCGGCGUAAGCCGGAGGAAGGAGGGGGCCACGGCAGGUCAGUAUGCCCCGAAACCCCGGGGCUGCACGCGAGCUGCAAUGGCGGGGACAGCGGGAUCCGACCCCGAAAGGGGAAGGUAAUCCCGUAAACCCCGCCCCAGUAGGGAUCGAGGGCUGUAACUCGCCCUCGUGAACGUGGAAUCCCUAGUAGACCGCGUGUCACCAACGCGCGGUGAAUACGUCCCUGCCCCUUGCACACACCGCCCGUC